This 696-nucleotide ribosomal RNA is filed under the name Staphylococcus simulans. Its description in RNAcentral is "bacterial LSU rRNA". It matches the Rfam family "Bacterial large subunit ribosomal RNA", at positions 1 to 687 of the family's 2925-position model. The record is from RNAcentral. Lineage: Bacteria; Bacillati; Bacillota; Bacilli; Caryophanales; Staphylococcaceae.
AUAACGUGAUUAAGUUAUUAAGGGCGCACGGUGGAUGCCUUGGCACUAGAAGCCGAUGAAGGACGUUACUAACGACGAUAUGCUUUGGGUAGCUGUAAGUAAGCGUUGAUCCAGAGAUUUCCGAAUGGGGGAACCCAGCACAAGUUAUGUUGUGUUAUCGACAUGUGAAUACAUAGCAUGUCCGAAGGCAGACGCGGAGAACUGAAACAUCUUAGUACCCGCAGGAAGAGAAAGAAAAAUCGAUUCCCUGAGUAGCGGCGAGCGAAACGGGAAGAGCCCAAACCAAUGAGCUUGCUCAUUGGGGUUGUAGGACACUCUAUACGGAGUUACAAAGGAAUAAAUUAGACGAAUCACCUGGAAAGUUGAACCAGAGAAGGUAAAAGUCCUGUAGUCGAAAGUUUAUUCUCUCUUGAGUGGAUCCUGAGUACGACGGAGCACGUGGAAUUCCGUCGGAAUCCGGGAGGACCAUCUCCCAAGGCUAAAUACUCUCUAGUGACCGAUAGUGAACCAGUACCGUGAGGGAAAGGUGAAAAGUACCCCGGAAGGGGAGUGAAAGAGAACUUGAAACCGUGUGCUUACAAGUAGUCAGAGCCCGUUAAUGGGUGAUGGCGUGCCUUUUGUAGAAUGAACCGGCGAGUUACGAUCUGAUGCAAGGUUAAGCAGCAAAUGCGGAGCCGCAGCGAAAGCGAGUCUGAA